RNAcentral lists this transfer RNA (73 nucleotides) under Ligilactobacillus salivarius. RNAcentral describes it as "tRNA-Pro". It matches the Rfam family "tRNA". From Rfam's summary of the family: Transfer RNA (tRNA) molecules are approximately 80 nucleotides in length. Their secondary structure includes four short double-helical elements and three loops (D, anti-codon, and T loops). The record is from RNAcentral. Lineage: Bacteria; Bacillati; Bacillota; Bacilli; Lactobacillales; Lactobacillaceae.
CGGGAAGUAGCUCAGUUUGGUAGAGCACCUGGUUUGGGACCAGGGGGUCGCAGGUUCGAAUCCUGUCUUCNAA